AAUAUCUGUUUCUUGUGUAAAGUAGCCAGUGACUUGGACAGUUUUCCCUGAAACUACAUUAGAGACAUCGCUUCAUCACAGAACCUGAAAUGGGCCACUAGCUGCCUCAUACCUGGCUGAGCCUUGAAAUUUCCAGUUUCCCUGGGACAGGUCCAGGUCUUGGGUAUUGGCCUGCUCAACAACUCCAGUGCCGGGAUGAAGGUGUUGUGUGUCUAUAAGCAUGACUGAGUUAAACUGAACACUUCAUUACUGGAGCAUCGGUAAAGAGGUUUUAAGGAACUAGGUCCCAGCCAUCAUCAAGCUCUUCUCAGCCGCCACACAGUGCACCAAACACUGGGCGAGCAGGUUUUAUAGAUUGAACCUGAGGCCUGGCACAUGCUAGGCAAGUGCUGUACCGUGAAGUUGUGCCCCAAGCAUCUUGCUAGCUGACCUGCCAUCGUAGAAGUAUUUACACCAGGGAAAUUGGCAAACACUACCAUCAGGAGCAGAAGAGGUGCUGAGUGAAAGUAUAAGGAUUAGAUGAGGUUUGGAUUCCCAGAGUCCAUGGGAAGAUGGACAGUCGUGG
RNAcentral lists this long non-coding RNA (565 nucleotides) under Cricetulus griseus (Chinese hamster). RNAcentral describes it as "lncRNA (ENSCGRG00015029241.1)". The record is from RNAcentral. Lineage: Eukaryota; Metazoa; Chordata; Mammalia; Rodentia; Cricetidae.